ACAAUACUAUUUUUUAUGUGUUAAGAUAAGCACUUAGGUGUUUCUCGCAUGCUAUGAACUCCUUCUAUGAGGUGUUCCAGAUGCUUGAACCGUGCCUUCUGACCUUGGCCAGCUCUCGCAGGAUGCAUCAUAUAUAUCGCUGAUCUUUUGAAUUCUCAGUCAGCGAAACAAUACAUUGACUUCUUUGCUUGUGGAAAUACAACGCUUCUACAGCUCCGAGUCCUGGUUUUUCCUGGCAGUUGGGUAAAAUGGCACCGCUCAGUUUUAUGCUGCUGCUUAUGUUGCUUAUGUUGCUUCAAUGCUAGUUUGAGUGCUAGAGCUUUGUCACGGCAGCGCUGAUCUGACACAGAAGGGCAGAUCUUUGAUGGAGUAUCGAUGAGGGGCUCCAGAUAGGUACGUAUGCCUAUUGAAGAUGUAAUUAUCUGACGCUUGACCCAAAGCGCCCGUCCAGCUAGGCACCUGCCGCGACACAACGACUAGCUCCUGGGCUGUGGCCGUGGACACGGUCGAACAAUCCUCGAUACGACAUCCCCUCCCAGUUCCAGGUGUAAACAUAGACAUCCUACUGUAACCAGCCUAAUUUCCAUCACAUCUCGCUAUUUCCACACUUCUAAGCAUAUCCAUCUUUGCCUUUGCUUUGCCACUGGUCUCUUUGCCAUGCCACUGGUCUCAGGCAUUGGACCAGCAGCGGAUCACUAUUGAACCCACGGCGCCAGAACCUCCCACCUUCGUAAUCAGUCUGUCAUUAAGUGGCUAGCAGCAGAGCCAAACCCUCACCAGACAGUCAUCACCCAUAUCCACUCUGUUAUAUUUUCAUGAUGCCCUUCACUGUACAGGUACAUGUGCUUGACAGGUCACCACUUCAGCCAGGCCAGUGGAUUGUGAACACUGACAAUGUGUGUAUGUGGUAGCAGUAGCAGUCACACCUAGAUGGCAGGGUCAUAGAUUGGAUGGCACACACAAUGCUGAUAGUGGUGGGCAUUUGUCACUGAGGUGCAUGCCCAUGAAAUCUAUGACCCUGCCAUCUAGAUAUGACAGCUACCACAUACACACAUUGUUGGUGUUCAAUAUCCACUGGCCUGGCUGCAGUGGUGACCUGUAGAGCACAUAUAACUGUACAGCAAAGGCACAUCUUAAAUAUACAGUGGAGUGGAUAUGGGUGAUAAUAUGGGUGAUGAUAUGGGUGAUGACUGUCUGGUGAGGGCUUGGCUCUGCCGCUAUGGCAGUCACUUGAUGAGAGACUGGCUGUGAAGGUGGGGGGUUCUGGCGCCGUGGGUUCAAUAGUGAUCCGCUGCUGGUCCAAUGUCUUCUCCACGGUUUCGUAGCAAAGGUUGGCAUUCUCUUGCCACACAUAGGCUGAUUAGUCCCAAUGAUAUUAUCAUGGCCCAUGGAAUAAAGGGGCAAGUGGCUCCCCUGGCUCAGGUGUAGUAUCCUGGUAUCAUGGGAUCCUGAAAUCCAACUGGCUCAUUGAGGUUCACCAGUGGGCUUGGGGCUGUGGCCGCAGCUAUGAUGGUGCUACUUGACCAGGGUGCUACUUGACCGGGGGUCUGCACUGUGAUACUGUGACCAGAAAGGUGGCGGUAUGUGUACAUA
RNAcentral lists this long non-coding RNA (1593 nucleotides) under Volvox carteri. RNAcentral's name for it is "long non-coding RNA (VCAR_LNC003280)". Lineage: Eukaryota; Viridiplantae; Chlorophyta; Chlorophyceae; Chlamydomonadales; Volvocaceae. The record is from RNAcentral.